AGCUUUUCGAAUUCGUGCUGAGAUUUCGUCAGACACCAGUCCAUCAGGGCUGAUCAGACUU
This 61-nucleotide microRNA precursor is filed under the name Schistosoma margrebowiei. Its description in RNAcentral is "mir-3492 microRNA precursor family". It matches the Rfam family "mir-3492 microRNA precursor family", at positions 1 to 61 of the family's 79-position model. The record is from Rfam by way of RNAcentral. Lineage: Eukaryota; Metazoa; Platyhelminthes; Trematoda; Strigeidida; Schistosomatidae.